Molecule: long non-coding RNA, 1275 nt
Filed under: Mus pahari (shrew mouse)
Lineage: Eukaryota; Metazoa; Chordata; Mammalia; Rodentia; Muridae
Description: predicted gene 29590 (MGP_PahariEiJ_G0004770.1)
Source: RNAcentral
CAGGGGGAACAAAGCUGGGCGUGCAUGCCAAUAUCCUUGUCAGCCUUGGAUUCUGGGCCUCCCGUGUCCACAAAGCGCUGGUGUGAGGUUGAGACAGGUGAAGGACAGGCAGAAGCGACUCAGCCUUGCCUCAGAUCCACAGUCUGCACAGGAGGAAGCCUGAAGCACACUGUGGGUGAGGUCAGAUCUUGGCAGAGUAUCCGGAUACCUCACAAAGCCAGCUUCCCCAGCUGGGUCUGGAAUGGGGUCCACAGUGCCCCUCCAAAUAUGGUAGUUACUGGUUUUAACCAAUCUUGGCAACCUCCAGAGCCCGUGCAGCCAAAUCUGUGACUUUGAAAAUGAGAAUCACCUCAACCAGCAUUCUUUCUAAGGCAACGUGUAAAGAGGGUUGGGUGAGUCAGGAAAGCAUCUCUGUGACUGCUGUGAAGUAAAGGAUGGAUCCCAAAAGGAUUGUGAGAGCCCUGGAUCUGCAGCCAAAUCAGACAGAGGGUAAGGACAGCUGGAAACACGGUUUCUUCCCAAAUCUAAAGGAGAAGGCAGUCUGGCAAGACCGAGCUCCUUCUUGUUUGUUUGCAUUUUAUUUUAUUUUAUUUUAUUUUUGCUACUGUUGUUUUUGAGAUAAGGGUCUCAAGUGAUCUAGGCUGGCUUUGAAGUGGUUAUGUGGCCAAGGUUGACUUUGAACUCACGAUAGAGGUAUAGAUACUCUUGACUCCAUUUCCCAAGUGCUUAGAACACAGGUAUGUCCCCAUUCCACUUGGCAAAGCCAAGGUUUACACCUGUGGGAUCUGAUGCUAUCGCCAGGCAGAUGCUGUCAGACCUGAAUUGCAUUGUGGGACAACCAGCUGGUCACAGGAGAGUGAUGAAUGUGAAGAAUCUACAUCUGGUCACAACAGAAUCCUGUGUUGGGAGGCCCAGGGGACAGAAACAGGCAUGGGGUCUCCUACCUCUCAGACACUUGGCUGGUGCUCUCUAGAGACCUGUGGCCGAGCAACAUCUGUCUGGAGACCUUGAAGUCACAUUCCAUCAAAGAUUCUCUAAAACAGUAAGUCCGGUACAGGAGCUACCAGCUGGCAGUCACUUGACACGUGGCCACUGGAUGUGCUAAAAUGUAAAAAGUGCACAUGCUUUGAAGGACACGUGGAAUGAAGCAUUCGAAGCAGCUCCUUAAUAAUUGUUUUUAACAUCCAUUAUGCUAAACUGGCAAUAUUCUUCUUUUACUAGUUAAAUAUAUUGUUUGCAUUAUUCUUAUUGUAAAAUGCAUAUGGCGUAAGCUUA